Molecule: microRNA precursor, 60 nt
Filed under: Euprymna scolopes
Lineage: Eukaryota; Metazoa; Mollusca; Cephalopoda; Sepiida; Sepiolidae
Description: Esc-Mir-1_pre stem-loop
Source: RNAcentral
ACAUUCUUCUUUACUAUCUCAUAGAUUUACUCGAAGUAUGGAAUGUAAAGAAGUAUGUUC